AUCCCCUGGGGAUUCUGUUAAAUGCAGACUCAGAUUCAGUAGAAAGCAGGUGGGGCCUGAGAUUCUGCAUUUCUAACAAGUUCCCAGGUAAU
This 92-nucleotide microRNA precursor is filed under the name Dasypus novemcinctus (nine-banded armadillo). Its description in RNAcentral is "miRNA (ENSDNOG00000048143.1)". Lineage: Eukaryota; Metazoa; Chordata; Mammalia; Cingulata; Dasypodidae. The record is from RNAcentral.